UUCCCUAUUUCCCUUCCCUUCCCUUCCCUGCCCUAAAUCUAAAACAAAUUUCUAUCUCUUCGUGCGUGCCGCCAGUGCUCCUGCUCCAUCUCUCAUCUCUGUGCUCUGCUCCAUCUGCUCCAUCUCUCAUCUCUGUGCUCUGCUCCAUCUCUCAUCUCGCCGCGAGAUUCUCGCGCCUGUGCCUCCACUCUCCUCUCGAUUGGACUGAUUCACCAUCGGCAUCGGCCGUUGCUCUCUAUCGGCUCUCCACGCGUCGUUGGGCAGUCGACAAUCUCUCAUCUCUAUGCUCUGCUCCAUCUCUCAUCUCGCCGCGAGAUUCUCGCACCUAUGCCUCCACUCUCC
Molecule: long non-coding RNA, 342 nt
Filed under: Manihot esculenta (cassava)
Lineage: Eukaryota; Viridiplantae; Streptophyta; Magnoliopsida; Malpighiales; Euphorbiaceae
Description: long non-coding RNA (MESC_LNC007549)
Source: RNAcentral